This 459-nucleotide long non-coding RNA is filed under the name Homo sapiens (human). RNAcentral's name for it is "novel transcript, antisense to TICRR". The record is from RNAcentral. Lineage: Eukaryota; Metazoa; Chordata; Mammalia; Primates; Hominidae.
GGCUGGAGGGCAGUGGCAUGAUCUCGGCUCACAGGAACCUCCACCUCUCAGGUUCAAGCGAUUCUCUUGCCUCAGCCUCACAAGUAGCUGAUGCAGGAGAAUCACUUGAACCUGGGAGGUGGAGGUUGCAUUGAGCCCAGAUUGUACCACUGCACUCCAGCGUAGGUGAAAAGAGUGAAACUCUGUCUCGGGAGGUGGGUGGGAAGAUGUAACUUUAAUAAGUGUUGAAAAGGACCUUAAGUUUCUAUUAAAGGUAAUGUGUGCAUGGCGUAGUCUGCUUAAUGUUGCUUACAACAGAAUAGCUGAAACUGGGUAAUUUAUAAAGAAAAGGAAUGUAUUUCUUACAGUUAUGGAGGCUGAGAAGUCCAAGGCCAGGGGGUUGUACUUUGCAAAGGCCUUCUUGCUGGUGGGGACUCUGCAGAGUCCCAAGGCAGCACAGGGCAAAGCAGGGCGAUGAGG